This 445-nucleotide ribosomal RNA is filed under the name uncultured bacterium. RNAcentral's name for it is "partial 16S ribosomal RNA". It matches the Rfam family "Bacterial small subunit ribosomal RNA", at positions 354 to 796 of the family's 1533-position model. The record is from RNAcentral.
GUGAGGAAUAUUGCGCAAUGGAGGCAACUCUGACGCAGCCAUGCCGCGUGCAGGAAGAAGGCGCUACGCGUUGUAAACUGCUUUUAACCGGGAAGAAACCCCAGGACGUGUCCUGGGUUGACGGUACCGGAGGAAUAAGCACCGGCUAACUUCGUGCCAGCAGCCGCGGUAAUACGAAGGGUGCAAGCGUUAUCCGGAUUCAUUGGGUUUAAAGGGUGCGUAGGCGGAGCGUUAAGUCAGUGGUGAAAUCCUGCAGCUUAACUGUAGACUUGCCAUUGAUACUGGCGCUCUUGAGUGCGCUUGAAGUGGGCGGAAUGUGCCAUGUAGCGGUGAAAUGCUUAGAUAUGGCACAGAACACCAAUUGCGAAGGCAGCUCACUAAGGCGAUACUGACGCUGAGGCACGAAAGCGUGGGGAUCGAACAGGAUUAGAUACCCCUGUAGUCC